This 460-nucleotide ribosomal RNA is filed under the name uncultured bacterium. Its description in RNAcentral is "partial 16S ribosomal RNA". It matches the Rfam family "Bacterial small subunit ribosomal RNA", at positions 338 to 795 of the family's 1533-position model. The record is from RNAcentral.
CCUACGGGAGGCUGCAGUGAGGAAUAUUGGUCAAUGGACGAGAGUCUGAACCAGCCAAGUAGCGUGAAGGAUGACUGCCCUAUGGGUUGUAAACUUCUUUUAUAUGGGAAUAAAACGUUCCACGUGUGGGAUUUUGUAUGUACCAUAUGAAUAAGGAUCGGCUAACUCCGUGCCAGCAGCCGCGGUAAUACGGAGGAUCCGAGCGUUAUCCGGAUUUAUUGGGUUUAAAGGGAGCGUAGGUGGAUUGUUAAGUCAGUUGUGAAAGUUUGCGGCUCAACCGUAAAAUUGCAGUUGAUACUGGCAGUCUUGAGUACAGUAGAGGUGGGCGGAAUGCGUGGUGUAGCGGUGAAAUGCUUAGAUAUCACGAAGAACUCCGAUUGCGAAGGCAGUUCACUGGACUGCAACUGACACUGAGGCUCGAAAGUGUGGGUAUCAAACAGGAUUAGAUACCCCGGUAGUC